Molecule: unclassified non-coding RNA, 205 nt
Filed under: Hevea brasiliensis (rubber tree)
Lineage: Eukaryota; Viridiplantae; Streptophyta; Magnoliopsida; Malpighiales; Euphorbiaceae
Source: RNAcentral
UUGAUCUGAAGUGAGAAGUUUCCAGUUCCGGGGUCAGCUGCUGAUCUCCAAGAUAUCAGGAACCGGUUCAUGCCUGUCCUUCGGUCCAACCCAAGUUUCAUUCCUGGCAGCAUAGUAUCCGUAGGAUGAUCAAAGCUUUCCCACACGGUACUUUUACUUCUAUCGUGGAACAAAACCAAAUUUCCUGUAUCCAAGAGCUGAGCUA